CCUACGGGAGGCAGCAGUGGGGAAUCUUGCGCAAUGGGGGAAACCCUGACGCAGCGACGCCGCGUGCGGGAUGGAGGCCUUCGGGCCGUGAACCGCUUUCAGCAGGGAAGACAUUAAGGACGGUACCUGCAGAAGAAGCCCCGGCUAACUACGUGCCAGCAGCCGCGGUAAUACGUAGGGGGCGAGCGUUAUCCGGAUUCAUUGGGCGUAAAGCGCGCGCAGGCGGCGCACCAGGCGGGAUCUCGAAACCGGGGGCUCAACCUCCGGGCGGAUCCCGAACCGGUGUGCUCGAGUGCGGUAGAGGAAGUCGGAAUUCCCGGUGUAGCGGUGAAAUGCGCAGAUAUCGGGAAGAACACCGAUGGCGAAGGCAGACUUCUGGGCCGACACUGACGCUCAGGCGCGAAAGCUGGGGGAGCGAACAGGAUUAGAUACCCUGGUAGUC
Molecule: ribosomal RNA, 442 nt
Filed under: Cryptobacterium curtum
Lineage: Bacteria; Bacillati; Actinomycetota; Coriobacteriia; Eggerthellales; Eggerthellaceae
Also listed under: 1 other name
Description: bacterial SSU rRNA
Rfam family: Bacterial small subunit ribosomal RNA
Source: RNAcentral